Trifolium pratense (red clover) is the source of this 299-nucleotide long non-coding RNA. RefSeq lists it as uncharacterized. The record is from RefSeq and is a predicted model, not a curated record. The transcript has 2 exons. Lineage: Eukaryota; Viridiplantae; Streptophyta; Magnoliopsida; Fabales; Fabaceae.
AUAAGCAUUUAUUGAGGAAGAAUUUGUGGACAAAGUCAUUUUCAUACUUGAAUCAAUGAGAGGGAACUUUUCUUAAGAAAAUUGAAAGGGAAAAUAAACGUGGCAUACCUACCCUAUAAAAUUCUAAAAAAGGCAUAACUUUAAGCCACGUCAAUACCUGUUAUAACAAUAGUAACAUCUCAUAUUAUAAUGAAACAAUUUCGGAUGCUUCAUCUACAAAUACCAUAACCAUCUGAUCCGAAAUUUGUUUCUUCCAAUAUGACAUGUUUGGAAAUGGAAAAAAAAAAGGAAUUCUAAAA